UACGAGUAGUAAUUGACAGUGGAUCC
RNAcentral lists this non-coding RNA (26 nucleotides) under Bombyx mori (domestic silkworm). The record is from RNAcentral. Lineage: Eukaryota; Metazoa; Arthropoda; Insecta; Lepidoptera; Bombycidae.